Molecule: ribosomal RNA, 253 nt
Filed under: uncultured bacterium
Lineage: Bacteria
Description: partial 16S ribosomal RNA
Rfam family: Bacterial small subunit ribosomal RNA
Source: RNAcentral
UACGUAGGCAGCGAGCGUUGUUCGGAGUUACUGGGCGUAAAGAGUGCGUAGGCGGUUUUCUAAGUUUGGUGUGAAAUCUCCCGGCUUAACUGGGAGGGUGCGCCGAAAACUGGAAGGCUUGAGUAUGGGAGAGGUAAGCGGAAUUCCUGGUGUAGCGGUGAAAUGCGUAGAUAUCGGGAGGAACACCGGUGGCGAAGGCGGUUCUCUGGGCCUGUACUGACGCUGAGGAGCGAAAGCGUGGGGAGCGAACAGG